CGGGUGAGUAACACGUGGGUAACGUGCCCUAGACACUGGGAUAACAGCGGGAAACCGCUGCUAAUACCGGAUAACCCUCUUAGAGCGCAUGCUCGGAGAGGCAAAGCUCCGGCGGUCUGGGAUCGGCCCGCGACGUAUCAGCUUGUUGGUGGGGUAACGGCCUACCAAGGCGGUGACGCGUAGCUGGCGUGAGAGCGUGGCCAGCCACACUGGGACUGAGACACGGCCCAG
RNAcentral lists this ribosomal RNA (231 nucleotides) under uncultured bacterium. RNAcentral's name for it is "partial 16S ribosomal RNA". It matches the Rfam family "Bacterial small subunit ribosomal RNA", at positions 103 to 334 of the family's 1533-position model. The record is from RNAcentral.